Molecule: RNA transcript, 942 nt
Organism: Beta vulgaris subsp. vulgaris (sugar beet)
Lineage: Eukaryota; Viridiplantae; Streptophyta; Magnoliopsida; Caryophyllales; Amaranthaceae
Gene name: protein RADIALIS-like 4
Exons: 2
Source: RefSeq, a predicted model, not a curated record
CUCUAUGCUGAUGUACCUUUUCUCUCCUGCAUAUUUUUUGUGGCUCAAAGGAACCAAAAUCACUGGAAAUUCCACAACUUUUUUGCCUCAUGUGAAAACUUUGUGUGGCUGGGUUCAGCCCACCAUCUUAUAAAUAGCAGGCAUUCCCAACUCUCAGUUCAUAACAUAUCCUCUCUCAACUACUGCCUUUCUUCCCAAAAAUUUCUUUUCCCUUCCAAUCAAUCCACAUUGCUUCUAAUUUUCGUCUAUUCUCCUUUAAUCCUUCAUUCACUAAGAAUCUCAGGCAUAUUGCAAACUAUCCUCCUCUGUUGCCUUCUUUGUGAUAAAAUUCUAAGACAAAGUCAUGGAACAUAACUCUGCUAAUGGCUCAAGAUCAUCUUGGACACAAGAACAAGACAAGGCCUUUGAAAGUGCUCUUAACAAGUACGAAAAGGACACACCUGAUCGUUGGCACAAUAUUGCCAAAGAGGUUCGUGGAAAAUCUGUUGAAGAGGUUAAGAGACAUUAUCAAGAUCUCCUAGAUGAUGUUAACAAUAUUGAGUUAGGCCGAGUUCCCUUCCCUUAUAAUUGGGCGAAUUGAGCAACAAAAUUGAGAGAGUAUAAACAAAGGUAUAGCAAUCCGACCUUGGAAGUUGUCCAUGGUAUCUACCUUAAAUGCCUUCUAUGAUUCUAGACAAUGGACCAGGAUGACGAACCCGAUCGAAAACAUGUACCAGAUGAAUAAAACAUCUAUCAUAAUGGUGCUACCAAAUUAGAGUUUCUCAUUUUCUCUACAUAGGCGACUUCCGUACUAUUAUAUUUCUUGUGUAACAUAUAGCUAUGUACCAAUUAUGCAAUGUUUGAUGCUCUAAAUGCGCAAGCAUGUAUAAAUGGGGCUAAUUAUUGUAAGUUAUUUUACUGCAAAAUUGUAAUUACAUAAUAAUAGAAUGUCUUUAUUUGAAA